This 69-nucleotide transfer RNA is filed under the name Callambulyx tatarinovii. RNAcentral's name for it is "tRNA-Met". Lineage: Eukaryota; Metazoa; Arthropoda; Insecta; Lepidoptera; Sphingidae. The record is from RNAcentral.
UUAAAAAUAAGCUAAGAAUAAGCUUUUGGGCUCAUACCUCAAAUAUAAAGGAUAACCCUUUUUUUUAAA